RNAcentral lists this ribosomal RNA (426 nucleotides) under Staphylococcus aureus. RNAcentral describes it as "bacterial SSU rRNA". It matches the Rfam family "Bacterial small subunit ribosomal RNA", at positions 1114 to 1533 of the family's 1533-position model. The record is from RNAcentral. Lineage: Bacteria; Bacillati; Bacillota; Bacilli; Caryophanales; Staphylococcaceae.
GUUGCCAUCAUUAAGUUGGGCACUCUAAGUUGACUGCCGGUGACAAACCGGAGGAAGGUGGGGAUGACGUCAAAUCAUCAUGCCCCUUAUGAUUUGGGCUACACACGUGCUACAAUGGACAAUACAAAGGGCAGCGAAACCGCGAGGUCAAGCAAAUCCCAUAAAGUUGUUCUCAGUUCGGAUUGUAGUCUGCAACUCGACUACAUGAAGCUGGAAUCGCUAGUAAUCGUAGAUCAGCAUGCUACGGUGAAUACGUUCCCGGGUCUUGUACACACCGCCCGUCACACCACGAGAGUUUGUAACACCCGAAGCCGGUGGAGUAACCUUUUAGGAGCUAGCCGUCGAAGGUGGGACAAAUGAUUGGGGUGAAGUCGUAACAAGGUAGCCGUAUCGGAAGGUGCGGCUGGAUCACCUCCUUUCUAAGGA